This 227-nucleotide ribosomal RNA is filed under the name uncultured Stichotrichia. Its description in RNAcentral is "partial Bacterial large subunit ribosomal RNA". It matches the Rfam family "Bacterial large subunit ribosomal RNA", at positions 1470 to 1686 of the family's 2925-position model. Lineage: Eukaryota; Ciliophora; Spirotrichea. The record is from RNAcentral.
GGACGCAGGAGGCUAUGCGAUGGGGGCCAAUGGAUAUGGUCUCCUCCAAAGGCGUAGUUAGUCAGAGUUGGCAAAUCCGCUCUGGCGUUAAGACACGAGGCCAAGUAAGCAAGAUCCCACGGGAUCAAGAUCGUAGAUGCCAUGCUGCCGAGAAAAGCGGCGAAAGCCAGAUUAACGGGUGCUCGUACCCGAAACCGACACAGGUAGUCAGGUAGAGUAUACCAAGG